Euleptes europaea (tarantolino) is the source of this 3676-nucleotide RNA transcript. It is a transcript of the gene named QKI, KH domain containing RNA binding, with no coding region annotated. The transcript is spliced from 8 exons. The record is from RefSeq and is a predicted model, not a curated record. NCBI's taxonomy places the organism in Eukaryota, Metazoa, Chordata, Lepidosauria, Squamata, Sphaerodactylidae.
GGCGCUCGCUCGCUCUCCCCGCGCGCCUGGAACAUGGUCGGGGAAAUGGAGGCCAAGGAGAAGCCCAAGCCCAGCCCCGAUUACCUGAUGCAGCUCAUGAACGACAAGAAGCUCAUGAGCAGCCUGCCCAACUUCUGCGGGAUCUUCAACCACCUCGAGCGGCUGCUGGACGAAGAAAUUAGCAGAGUACGGAAAGACAUGUAUAACGACACGUUAAAUGGUAGCACGGAGAAGAGAAGUGCAGAAUUACCUGAUGCUGUGGGACCUAUUGUACAGUUACAAGAGAAACUAUAUGUGCCUGUAAAAGAAUAUCCAGAUUUUAAUUUUGUUGGACGAAUCCUUGGGCCUAGAGGACUAACAGCUAAACAACUUGAGGCUGAAACAGGAUGUAAGAUCAUGGUCCGAGGCAAAGGGUCUAUGAGAGACAAGAAAAAGGAGGAACAAAACAGAGGCAAGCCGAACUGGGAACAUCUGAAUGAAGAUUUGCAUGUACUAAUCACUGUGGAAGAUGCUCAAAACAGAGCAGAAAUCAAAUUGAAGAGGGCUGUGGAGGAAGUAAAAAAAUUACUGGUACCUGCAGCAGAGGGAGAAGAUAGCCUUAAAAAGAUGCAGUUGAUGGAACUUGCAAUUCUCAAUGGCACGUACAGAGACGCCAAUAUCAAAUCACCAGCCCUUGCCUUUUCUCUUGCAGCAACAGCCCAGGCUCCAAGGAUUAUCACAGGGCCUGCUCCUGUUCUCCCACCAGCUGCCCUGCGUACCCCUACGCCAGCUGGCCCUACCAUAAUGCCUUUGAUCAGACAAAUACAGACCGCUGUCAUGCCAAAUGGAACUCCUCACCCAACUGCUGCAAUAGUUCCCCAAGGACCUGAAGCUGGUUUAAUUUACACACCUUAUGAGUAUCCCUACACACUGGCACCUGCUACAUCAAUUCUUGAGUAUCCCAUUGAACCCAGUGGUGUAUUAGGUAUGGCUUUCCCAACGAAAGGCUAAGAAUUCAAGAACGGUCUUAACUGAACUCUCAUCAGAGCUGACUUUAACAAAUACUUAGUUUUCAGCGGCCUUGAAAAAUUGUAGCCUAGCAGUCAGUGACUUACUUGCACUUUUUUUGCACAUAGAAUUAAAAUGCUAUUAAUUUGGUGUAGCCUGUACUAUAUAUGAUAAACUUAGCUGUGAUUUAUGAGUGUAUGGUAGUGUACUGACUGCUAUGUAUUCUGUACUAUUUGCUUUACUAAUCACCUAAUUCAUUGCAGUUCACAGUUAUUGACUUAGUUUUUAAACCACAGUCUGUAGGCUUGAGGAAUUGCUUUAAAAACGUAAAAAAAAAAAACUGGUAAAAAACUGGAAGUUGUUUUAAGAUUAGCAAAGAAUCAUCAGUAUUAAAAAUGGCAUUAUUUAAAAAUAGUCCUGCUGCAAGGAAGGCACUUCAGUGAAUAUGUGACUAGUAAAGCUCAAAUAUGCUUGGGUCUAAUAGAUUUCAUGAAAUACUGUAAUCUUGAGUUUGUAAAUGAAUGGAUAAUGCAGGUUAAGGCCCAGAUGCUUAAAAAUGCAAUAUUAAUCUGCACAGAUACGCUCCAUAUAUUAAGGUUAAAAUUUGAAACUACUGUGCCUUAACUAGUUGCUUUCUUAAAAUGAAUUUUUGAAAGUGAUCAAUUUUAAAAACCAUUUUGAUAAGCCUGCUGUUAAUGUUUUUGCAAAUGUUUUCUAACUGUCUUGGUAAUUGCAAUUUAACUAGGUGCGGUGGCUACUAAAGUUCGAAGGCACGAUAUGCGUGUCCAUCCUUACCAAAGGAUUGUGACCGCAGACCGAGCCGCCACCGGCAACUAACCUAUGACCUUCUGACCUCUGAACUCUUCACCCAAUGAUGACCUGACCAUGCCUGCCUGCUGAUCAGUUAACUGGUAAUCGCCUUUGCUUGCCUGUCUUCAGUGCAGCGAGCUGAGGCACUUGUCCGUUCGUCUUACCAUCUAACAAAAGACAAAGAACUUGUCCUCCAACUCAACUUUUUUUCCCUGUUUGGGUGAAAGUGGUUCUAGAACCUGCACUGAAUAGUAGUAAAGCAAUAAGGUCCAAUUCAUCCCUCCGCACUGAUCAUCCUUUAGUGUCCCACCCUAAAUGAAUGGUAAGAAGGGCCUCACUUAAGAGAUGGAGGCAAAUGUCCCUUUUAACUCCCUGAUGACAGAGGCAGUUACUGUGAGACUUCUAGGAAUCUUUCUCUUCUCAUAAAGAAGUCAAAGCUCUCUUUGAAUGUACUGUGUGAUGAUGCAUCAUGCAUGAACCUUUGGUCAGGGAUGUCAUUGGUGAAGGGAUUCCUAAAAGUAUUCAAAAUUUGACAUGCAGUGUAGUCACUACCAGUGCCCUCAAAGGGCAGAAGAUGCAGCCUUUUUUAUAUUACCUGCCAAAUUGGGUGUUUUUAAGAAGAAAAAAGUGCCAUGAAAGAUAGGUUACUGAAUUUUUGAACUACAUCAAUGCAUAAACAAAACAGCAACACUAUUUAAGCUAAACCUGAGAUAAAGUUCCUUUUACUAUACAACUUCCUUAAAAGAUUACACGAGUACAAGGUACAUGCAUUAUGUGUCACAUUACUGGGCAAACUGUUCAAAUAUUUUUUUAAACCUCCCUGUAUAGAGAAAAUUCAUUAAGGAUGUAAAAGCCAUGCUUGCCUAUUUGCUGUAUACAUGUAAUGAAAUUGUAGAUAAAGUGUAGUGCAUUGAAACAAAUUGAAAAAGUAGAUACUUUUACUAUACAAGGGUGCUGGUGCAGAAAAAAAUAUAUUUUUGGAAAUGUAGCAUUUUAUACUUUCAAGUGUUAUAAAAAAGAACAAAGAAACCCUUUAUUUCAUUAAAUAAUUUUUUCUGGUGGUUGUCGAGAAACAAAAGACCAAAAGAGCCUUUUUGUCUUUCUUUUUUAUUUUUUAAGUAUUGGAAUAAGUAUAAAGAAAAGAAAGUGCCUUAUUUUCUUCAUGGUCAUUUAGUCAGAUGUCUCGUAUAAUCAGCUCCUCCCUCAGACAGCAAGUAAAUGCAUGCCACUCAGUCGCCCAGUAUGUGAAAAGAAGCUGUGAAGAAAGACAAAUAAGUUGACCAUUUAAAUUACCUGAUUUUUGCCACGACAUGAUGUAACUGCCAGGAUAUAUACUGUGAAAUAGAAUCGUACCACCAACAGCCAACCGCAAUAUUUUUGUAACAUGUUCCCUCUUCAAUUGUAGACAGUAUAUUUUUAUAGUCCUUGCUCAGCCUUAAACCAAAGGGUUCUAAGAUGCAGUCUCAUUAUAAAUGAAAGCAUUAAAUGACAGUAUUUAUAUAGUGGCAAGUGUUAAUUGUUUAUCCUUUGGAUUCAGUUGUACUGUUUCUAUUUGAAAUAGAUGUGGGAAAGUACAGCAGAACUCGAACUUGCUACAAGAUAAUUUUGUCAGUGAUUAAAUUAAACAUUCAUACAGGCCAUCUAUCUUUUAAACAUGUUUUAAGUUUUUAGGUGUUUGCUCUACAAUGCCAAAUAGUGUAACACAGUGCAUAAUUAUCAUCAAACUCCUACUUGAUGAAUGUUAACUGCUGGUUGCGCUUUACUGAAAAGAUAAAAAAGUAUCAAUUAACUAUCUUGAAAGUCUAGUUACGCUUCUAGUGUCAGGAUAAAUUCAUUGAACUGGGCUAGUGUGAAACACUUUACGCACAAAGGUGAGUCA